GAGAAAUCCUUGGUUGAUAAAAGGACCCAUUCUGUAAACAUUCAUUGGUGGAAAGAAAAGGUUCCUGUACCAUCUCUCUUGAUUGUUGCUACCAAUAAGAUUGCUCAGAACCUUCUGAGAUAUUUCCAACUUUUAUUUGGUUUUCACACCUGUAUGUUUUUGGAAUGUUGUUACUGUGCUAUGAGAAUUAGCGUUUUGGAUAAGAAGAUUAGGUUUGAGCAGC
Molecule: unclassified non-coding RNA, 223 nt
Filed under: Hevea brasiliensis (rubber tree)
Lineage: Eukaryota; Viridiplantae; Streptophyta; Magnoliopsida; Malpighiales; Euphorbiaceae
Source: RNAcentral